UGGCUCAGAGUUUAAAGCAUCUGCCUCCAAUGCAGGAGACCAGGGUUUGAUCCCUG
Non-coding RNA from Bos taurus (domestic cattle), 56 nucleotides. The record is from Rfam. Lineage: Eukaryota; Metazoa; Chordata; Mammalia; Artiodactyla; Bovidae.